Molecule: long non-coding RNA, 1372 nt
Filed under: Meleagris gallopavo (turkey)
Lineage: Eukaryota; Metazoa; Chordata; Aves; Galliformes; Phasianidae
Description: lncRNA (ENSMGAG00000020164.1)
Source: RNAcentral
AAAAGAAGGGAGAUUUAGACUGGAUAUAAGGAAAACAUUAUUUUAUGGUAAGGGUAGUGCAGCACUGGCACAGAUUGCCCAGAGAGGUGGUGGUUGUCCUGUCCCUGCAGACACCCAAGUUCAGGCUGGAUGGGGCUCUGAGCACCUGAUGGAGCUGUGGGUGUCUCUGCUCAUUGUAAGGGCUUGGACCAGAUGGCUUUUAAGGGUCCCUUCCAACUCAAUUGAUUCUAUGAUUCUAUCAUUCUAUCUAAAAACAUGGUGCUGUAGCAGCUACAGGAAGAAAAAUAACUCUGCCACAACCAGGACAGAGGCUUCCAAGUGGCUCUAUCAAUAUGUUAAAGGUUGCGUAACGCAUCUGUGAACUCACUGGGGUGUGACUUUGGAAAUGUCUUGAAGAUAAAUGAGGACCCAGUGUUUCCAGUGUGCUUCUCGUUAGUAGGAAAGCAUCUGAGGCAGUCAGCUGGCAGAAUCUGUGUAUCCCAGCUCCCGGUGCCCCUUGUACAGAGAGGUUGCCUUUGGGAGACCCCUUGGCCCUUCUCUAUUAUGCUCAGAGCUGUAAAGGUUGCUCUUUAAGGGCUUUCUGAAUGAAACUUGGGGCUUAACUGAAGAUUGCUCAGCUGUAUAAAGAUAGAGGGUUUGAGAUGAAGAUCCUGCUAUUCACCCUCUAAAUCUGCUGCUCUUUUUCCCUCAGUAUCCUUCUCCAGAGGAAUACCAAAUCUGAUCUCGCCCCCCAAUGCUUUGAGGUCUUCAGAUUGGAAAUGCCAAGCACGCUUUGAGGCAGGACUGGAACAGCAUUGGUGAACAACAGGAAAAGUCAAAGGAGAUGUGCACAGCUCUUGCUAAAUGCAAAACUGGGAAUGUCAUGCCCCUCAGGCAGGAACCACUUUUUCAUGGAACAGGAGGUUAUCUGCUUGCUAGAGGCUCCAGGGAAAGAAACCCGAGUCAGAGGCUGUCUUCCUCACAGCUCUGGAAAAGAAUGGCUGGAGAUUUCUGGAAUGUGAAGGGCCAAGCAGCCUUGCUCCUUAGCUGUUCACUGCAGCAGUAUGAGCUUCCUCCUGUACCUUCCAAGAACUCAUCAUUAGGCCAAAAGAGAAGGCUUGCUCCAGUCGGUCAGGUUCCUGGAGGAAUCCCGUGUCAAAGGCCCAGAUCUCUCCAUCUGGCCCCUCACUGCAAGAAAGACAUGGAGGCCCUGGAGCGGGUUCAAAGAAGGGCAACAAAACUGGUGAGGGGUCUGGAGCACAAAUCCUAUGAGGAGCGGCUGAAGGAGCUGGGGUUGUUCAGUCUGGAGAAGAGGAGGCUCAGGGGAGGCCAUAUUGCUCUCUAUAGCUACGUGAAGGGAGGCUGUAGCGAGCUGGGGGUCGGCCUCUUCUCU